Molecule: ribosomal RNA, 468 nt
Filed under: uncultured bacterium
Lineage: Bacteria
Description: partial 16S ribosomal RNA
Rfam family: Bacterial small subunit ribosomal RNA
Source: RNAcentral
GACGAACGCUGGCGGCGUGCUUAACACAUGCAAGUCGAACGGAAAGGCCCUGCUUUUGUGGGGUGCUCGAGUGGCGAACGGGUGAGUAACACGUGAGUAACCUGCCCUUGACUUUGGGAUAACUUCAGGAAACUGGGGCUAAUACCGGAUAGGAGCUCCUGCUGCAUGGUGGGGGUUGGAAAGUUUCGGCGGUUGGGGAUGGACUCGCGGCUUAUCAGCUUGUUGGUGGGGUAGUGGCUUACCAAGGCUUUGACGGGUAGCCGGCCUGAGAGGGUGACCGGCCACAUUGGGACUGAGAUACGGCACAGACUCCUACGGGAGGCAGCAGUGGGGAAUAUUGCACAAUGGGCGGAAGCCUGAUGCAGCAACGCCGCGUGCGGGAUGACGGCCUUCGGGUUGUAAACCGCUUUCGCCUGGGACGAAGCGUGAGUGACGGUAAUGGGUAAAGAAGCACCGGCUAACUACGUG